This is a ribosomal RNA of Prevotella sp., 1533 nucleotides long. It matches the Rfam family "Bacterial small subunit ribosomal RNA". NCBI's taxonomy places the organism in Bacteria, Pseudomonadati, Bacteroidota, Bacteroidia, Bacteroidales, Prevotellaceae. The record is from Rfam.
ACAAUGAAGAGUUUGAUCCUGGCUCAGGAUGAACGCUAGCUACAGGCUUAACACAUGCAAGUCGAGGGGAAACGACAUUGAAAGCUUGCUUUUAAUGGGCGUCGACCGGCGCACGGGUGCGUAACGCGUAUCGAACCUGCCCUUUACUCAGGGAUAGCCUUGCGAAAGUAAGAUUAAUACCUGAUAGUGUUGUGAUGAGGCAUCUUGUUGCAACUAAAGAUUUAUUGGUAAAGGAUGGCGAUGCGUCUGAUUAGGUAGUAGGCGGGGUAACGGCCCACCUAGCCGACGAUCAGUAGGGGUUCUGAGAGGAAGGUCCCCCACAUUGGAACUGAGACACGGUCCAAACUCCUACGGGAGGCAGCAGUGAGGAAUAUUGGUCAAUGGGCGAGAGCCUGAACCAGCCAAGUAGCGUGCAGGAUGACGGCCCUCUGGGUUGUAAACUGCUUUUAGUUGGGAACAAAAAAGGCGACGUGUCGCCUCUGGAGUGUACCAUCAGAAAAAGGACCGGCUAAUUCCGUGCCAGCAGCCGCGGUAAUACGGAAGGUCCAGGCGUUAUCCGGAUUUAUUGGGUUUAAAGGGAGCGUAGGCGGACGAUUAAGUCAGCUGUGAAAGUUUGCGGCUCAACCGUAAAAUUGCAGUUGAAACUGGUUGUCUUGAGUGCACGCAGGGAUGUUGGAAUUCAUGGUGUAGCGGUGAAAUGCUUAGAUAUCAUGAAGAACUCCGAUCGCGAAGGCAUAUGUCCGGAGUGCAACUGACGCUGAGGCUCGAAAGUGCGGGUAUCGAACAGGAUUAGAUACCCUGGUAGUCCGCACAGUAAACGAUGAAUACUCGCAGUAUGCGAUAUAGUGUAUGCUGCCAAGUGAAAACGUUAAGUAUUCCACCUGGGGAGUACGCCGGCAACGGUGAAACUCAAAGGAAUUGACGGGGGCCCGCACAAGCGGAGGAACAUGUGGUUUAAUUCGAUGAUACGCGAGGAACCUUACCCGGGCUUGAACUAAGCAGGAAGAUGGGCAGAGAGGCCUGUUGUCUUCGGACCUGCUUGGAGGUGCUGCAUGGUUGUCGUCAGCUCGUGCCGUGAGGUGUCGGCUUAAGUGCCAUAACGAGCGCAACCCUUCUCCACGUUUGCCAUCAGGUAGAGCUGGGCACUCCGUGGAUACUGCCAUCGUAAGAUGUGAGGAAGGUGGGGAUGACGUCAAAUCAGCACGGCCCUUACGUCCGGGGCUACACACGUGUUACAAUGGCCGGUACAGAGGGAAGCCACCAGGCGACUGGGCGCUGAUCCAUUAAAACCGGUCUCAGUUCGGACUGGAGUCUGCAACCCGACUCCACGAAGCUGGAUUCGCUAGUAAUCGCGCAUCAGCCAUGGCGCGGUGAAUACGUUCCCGGGCCUUGUACACACCGCCCGUCAAGCCAUGAAAGCCGGGGGUGCCUGAAAGCUGUGACCGUAAGGGGCGGCCUAGGGUAAAACCGGUGAUUGGGGCUAAGUCGUAACAAGGUAGCCGUACCGGAAGGUGCGGCUGGAACACCUCCUUU